AUACGGAGGGUGCAAGCGUUGUUCGGAUUCACUGGGCGUAAAGGGCGUGUAGGCGGAUUUGCAAGCUGGAGGUGAAAGCCCCGGGCUCAACCCGGGAAUUGCUUCCAGAACUGCAUGUCUAGAGAAAGUCAGAGGCAGGUGGAAUUCCAGGUGUAGAGGUGAAAUUCGUAGAGAUCUGGAGGAACACCAGCGGCGAAGGCGGCCUGCUGGGGCUUUUCUGACGCUGAGGCGCGAAAGCGUGGGGAGCAAACAGGAUUAGAUACCCCGGUAGUCC
RNAcentral lists this ribosomal RNA (274 nucleotides) under uncultured bacterium. RNAcentral describes it as "partial 16S ribosomal RNA". It matches the Rfam family "Bacterial small subunit ribosomal RNA", at positions 523 to 796 of the family's 1533-position model. The record is from RNAcentral.